AUGUUCAGAGUGGGGCACUUCCUAAAAUAAUCUUGGAAUCUUUCCCACGCUUCUGGAUAGCUCUCAAUGUCCUUUUGCUUAAAAGUAUGGAUUUCAUUUCUAACAU
RNAcentral lists this small nucleolar RNA (106 nucleotides) under Olea europaea subsp. europaea. Its description in RNAcentral is "Plant small nucleolar RNA R71". It matches the Rfam family "Plant small nucleolar RNA R71". Rfam says of the family: R71 is a member of the C/D box family of snoRNAs containing the C (UGAUGA) and D (CUGA) box motifs. Multiple nearly identical copies of this snoRNA have been identified in Arabidopsis, and it is thought to function as a 2'-O-ribose methylation guide for 18S ribosomal RNA. The record is from Rfam by way of RNAcentral. Lineage: Eukaryota; Viridiplantae; Streptophyta; Magnoliopsida; Lamiales; Oleaceae.